Molecule: long non-coding RNA, 1866 nt
Organism: Papaver somniferum (opium poppy)
Lineage: Eukaryota; Viridiplantae; Streptophyta; Magnoliopsida; Ranunculales; Papaveraceae
Exons: 6
Source: RefSeq, a predicted model, not a curated record
AUAAAUCUCUCUCUCUCUCUCUCUCUCUUUCAAUUCAGAUCUGCUCUGGAGAACUCUGGUUCUUCUGUAUCGACAUAAGUUGAAUGUAGAGAAGGGAAAUUUUAGGUCAUCUUUCUGUGAUAAUUCUUCAGCUGCUAAUGAUAAUCGUAGUAAACCAGCCGGAGGAUCUUCUAAGACAUCUGGUGGUUAAUAGGAUUUUGUAAGGUUUGCAGGGCAAAAACAACCUAGUCAUAGUACAAAUGCACUGCCUGCUGGUCAAUCUGCUCCAUUUACUGGUGAUUCCGGUAGUUCCAGCUUGCCUCGUUCUAAUGGCCCUGCAUCAGGUCAGCUUAAUCCUACUGUUUAUUCAACUGUGCAAAGAGGUUCAGGAUUUGGUUUGGUCGCGCAACCCCUAGUUCUCAUUUCUGAGGAUAUGGACCCCGCGUCGGCCCAAACUCAUAGCUCUUCUUCGCAAAAUAUCGCGGCGACAGAUUGUUGAGUCUAAUAUAUCUUCUCUUCAGUAUGAUAAAGAAGCAUUGUUGGCAACUGUGAGGCUCAAGCAAAGUAAGCAGCCAUCUGAGCUCUUUUGAAAACCCCUUGUGGCUUGUGACACGAGUACUCAUGGUGGAUUUUUUGUACCUCGCAGAGCGGCUAAAAAGAACAUUCCUCCGCUAGUGCAUGUGGUUUCUUAUUUUUCUGUCCACAUCUUAAUUAAAGUACCAAUGUUACACACACUUGUUAAUUAAUAUUAUAUCUACAAAUUGAAGUGCUUAUUAAGGAUCAUGAUCGACAUGACUUCUCGAUGCAACUGGCUCCAGAAUUAGUAUCCAGAGACUUGCAUGAUGUGGCAUGACAUUCAGGCAAAUCAUCGGGGUAUGUGAAAAUUGCAAACUAACUUUUUUUGUUUCCUAUUUGUGUCCCUUCGGCACUCUGUAUGCUCAUUUUCAUUGUUCAGGACAACUGAAAAGACACUUACUGACGACGGGUUGGAGUGUAUUUGUUAGCAAAAAAAGGCUUUUCACAGGAGAUUCAGUCCUUUUCAUAAAGUAUCCAAAUAUAGUAAAGUUCACUUUGGUUGCCAUUAUAAAUUUUCUGUUCAUCACACUAAAAGUAACAUAGUUCUUGUGCUGAGAUGAGAUGAGAAAUCACAACUUCUUUUGGGUAUAAGUCGGGUUAAUAGAGAAACAACACUCUCAUCAUCUGUAAUAUCAAGUGAUAGCAUGCAUAUACAAAAAUUCUCGCUUCAUCUGCUCAUGCGUCUGCAAGCAAUACUCUAUUUGUUACCUUUUACAACCCAAGAUAUGUUUUUGGCAGCAUUUUGUUUGUGUUUUAUCACUAUGGAUCAAUGGUAUACUUGUAGGAAUCAAGGUCAGCGCUUAAUCAAUAUUAUUUUGUUUGCAAGGCAGUCCUUCAGAAUUUUUAUUUUCGUUAGCCAACUAUAACAAAGAAAUCUGCACCAAGGCAAAUCACACCUUCAUACAAUGAGGUCCAGAAGAUGGUUCAUCAUACUGCCUCCAAACUCUUGAGUGGGUCAGAGAUCCUCGAGAACAACGGUGAGUCAACAACGCGAUCAAAACCUUGGAAAGAAUCCUGUGUUUCGCGUCGUUCCUACGAGGAAGACACAACUCCAUAUCCACUUCAAAGUGGUCAGAAGAAAAAUCCAUAUCCACUUCAAAGUGGUCAGUAGAAAAAUCCAUACUUUACGCAAGUGCUGAUCAUCUUCUAUUUUAGGUCUUGUGCUGGGAGAAGGAAGAAAGUGAAGUGAAAAGGUUAAAAGUCGGGCUACCGGAACUGUAUUGCAAAAUCUUCUUAAAGUAAGAUCUGUCUUCGCCUUCAAGUUAUUUUUGUGUGGGUAUAUUGUUUCCAAAUUGUAUAACUUUUCAAUUA